GCCCUCUUAGUGCAGUAGGCAGCACAUUAGUCUUUUAAUCUGAAGGUCCUGAGUUCGAGCCUCGGAGAAAGCA
This is a non-coding RNA of Cervus elaphus (red deer), 73 nucleotides long. Lineage: Eukaryota; Metazoa; Chordata; Mammalia; Artiodactyla; Cervidae. The record is from the annotation of a RefSeq genome assembly.